RNAcentral lists this long non-coding RNA (1294 nucleotides) under Citrus x clementina. RNAcentral describes it as "Citrus clementina (C. clementina) long non-coding RNA (CCLE_LNC000223)". Lineage: Eukaryota; Viridiplantae; Streptophyta; Magnoliopsida; Sapindales; Rutaceae. The record is from RNAcentral.
GGUAAUGAAAAUAAAUAUGCAAAAUAACACCACACGAAGAUUUUUUUACGAGGAAACCUUUGAUCCUCACGAUUUAGGAUAAAAAUCUUGACACGUUAUUAUGUCCACUUGUAGACGAAACAAUUCACUAUGAAAAUAAUGUGAUCAAGAACACUUACAAAGCUUCGCAGCCGUAAAUAUCUCGAAUCUACAUUCUAUUGUGUCAACCCUCACAGACUAAAAUACGUUAUCUAAAAUACAUUUGAACAUUUUCCAAGUGGAUUUAAGUGGGCAGCCUUACCAAGACUUGGGUCUUGGGUUUGAGUCUCAUGUAGUGUAGUCUCAUAGACAUUAUUUUGGUGCUCUGAGGAAUUGUUGUUUCUAUCUAGAUUUCUUUGUCGUAUUUGCCAAUGCAUUUUACUCGUUACAAAGAUGCCUUAUUUUCUAUUGCUAAUGUUAUUGGUAAGCCUCUGCGGGUGGACUUGCGACUGCUAUUGUUAAUUGGCCCUUAAUCGCUAGAGUUCUUAAUGAGUUCUAUCUUCUAUUGCUUUUGUUAUUUUUCUAGUUGUUGGAUGUAUUUAUUCCCAUGCUUGGAGGUUUUAACAUACGUCCCUCUCCAUAUGUAUUUUCUUUUAUUUUAUUAAUUUAGGGUAAGGGAGUCCUGCCUAACCCCCCACCUAGGGAUGGCAAUGGGGAGGGGAGGGGAGGGGACCGAUCUCCCCGUACUCAUCCCCGAUAUUUUGCGUAUGUCCCCAUCCCCUCCCCGUCCCCGUCAGAAUUACUUGAGAGAAUCCCCAUCCCCUCCCCGAAUAAUAACAGGGGAUCCCCGAGGGUCCCCGAUCCCCGAAUAACUAAUACAUUUUUUUUCGAUUUUGAGUUAAUCAUAUUAAAAUAAAAAAUUCAAAUAAAAAUAAAGUUCGAAAUAUAUCUUACAUUAAUAUUUAUUACAAAAGUCACAUACAUUAAAUUAGUAAGUAACGCAACAUGCAAGGGAUACAAACUUAUUUUACAAACUAUCAUGAACAAAUUAAUAGUCUAAUACAAAAUUGUUACAAAUAAAAUCGAAUUUAGAUUCAAAAUUAACUUUUUCAAUAGUGGCGUGGGCACUUUAUAAAUGUGGACUAUUCCCUUUACAACACAAUAGUUAAAUCGGAGCAAAUUAAAAGUAAAUAUUAGAUUAGAUUAGAUUAGAUAUUAAAAUUGUGAUUCGUUGUGGGCAAUUAUAACAUCUAAAAUUAAAUAAAAAAUAGAUUUAAGUUUAAAAUAUUUAAAGAAUAUCAAAAUUAAAAAAAAUGUUUGGCUAAUAGAAUCUACU